RNAcentral lists this ribosomal RNA (478 nucleotides) under uncultured bacterium. Its description in RNAcentral is "partial 16S ribosomal RNA". It matches the Rfam family "Bacterial small subunit ribosomal RNA", at positions 28 to 523 of the family's 1533-position model. The record is from RNAcentral.
GACGAACGCUGGCGGCGUGCUUAACACAUGCAAGUCGAACGGUAAGGCCCUUCGGGGUACACGAGUGGCGAACGGGUGAGUAACACGUGGGUGAUCUGCCCUGCACUUCGGGAUAAGCCUGGGAAACUGGGUCUAAUACCGGAUAGGACUCCUGGCUUCAUGGUUGGGGGUGGAAAGCUUUUGCGGUGUGGGAUGGGCCCGCGGCCUAUCAGCUUGUUGGUGGGGUAAUGGCCUACCAAGGCGACGACGGGUAGCCGGCCUGAGAGUGUGACCGGUCACAAUGGGACUGAGAUACGGCCCAGAGUCGUACGGGAGGCAGCAGUGGGGAUGAUUGCGCAAUGGGCGCAAGGCUGAUGCAGCGACGCCGCGUGAGGGAUGACGGCCUUCGGGUUGUAAACCUCUUUCAGCUAUGACGAAGCGCAAGUGACGGUAGUAGCAGAAGAAGGACCGGCCAACUACGUGCCAGCCGCCGCCGUAA